RNAcentral lists this ribosomal RNA (804 nucleotides) under uncultured Pelagibacteraceae bacterium. RNAcentral's name for it is "bacterial SSU rRNA". It matches the Rfam family "Bacterial small subunit ribosomal RNA", at positions 34 to 886 of the family's 1533-position model. The record is from RNAcentral. Lineage: Bacteria; Pseudomonadati; Pseudomonadota; Alphaproteobacteria; Candidatus Pelagibacterales; Candidatus Pelagibacteraceae.
CGCUGGCGGCACGCCUAAUACAUGCAAGUCGAACGAAGUAGCAAUACUUAGUGGCAGACGGGUGAGUAACAUGUAGGUAUCUUCCCUUUGGUGAGGAAUAACACGAGGAAACUUGUGCUAAUACCUCAUAAGUCUUUACGGAGAAAGCUUUAUGCGCCAAUGGAUGAGCCUGCACUUGAUUAGUUUGUUGGUGGGGUAAUGGCCUACCAAGACAAUGAUCAAUAGCUGAUUUGAGAGGAUGAUCAGCCACAUUGGGACUGAGACACGGCCCAAACUCCUACGGGAGGCAGCAGUAGGGAAUCUUGCACAAUGGGGGAAACCCUGAUGCAGCGAUGCCGCGUGAGUGAAGAAGGCCUUUGGGUUGUAAAGCUCUUUCGUCGGGGAAGAAAAUGACUGUACCCGAAUAAGAAGGUCCGGCUAACUUCGUGCCAGCAGCCGCGGUAAUACGAAGGGACCUAGCGUAGUUCGGAAUUACUGGGCUUAAAGAGUUCGUAGGUGGUUAAAAAAGUUGGUGGUGAAAUCCCAGAGCUUAACUCUGGAACUGCCAUCAAAACUUUUUAGCUAGAGUAUGAUAGAGGAAAGCAGAAUUUCUAGUGUAGAGGUGAAAUUCGUAGAUAUUAGAAAGAAUACCAAUUGCGAAGGCAGCUUUCUGGAUCAUUACUGACACUGAGGAACGAAAGCAUGGGUAGCGAAGAGGAUUAGAUACCCUCGUAGUCCAUGCCGUAAACGAUGUGUGUUAGACGUUGGAAAUUUAUUUUCAGUGUCGCAGCGAAAGCAAUAAACACACCGCCUGGGGAGUACGAC